Molecule: ribosomal RNA, 381 nt
Filed under: Triticum aestivum (bread wheat)
Lineage: Eukaryota; Viridiplantae; Streptophyta; Magnoliopsida; Poales; Poaceae
Description: partial small subunit ribosomal RNA
Source: RNAcentral
AUGUCAUCGGCAAGUCCGACUUGCCGAAUCCAGGCAUCGAGCUUAUCGAUCUUGAGGGUUGCAGAGAUGGUCUCAACCAGCCACCCAAUCGAGGCCGCCAUCAGAUCCGGCAGAAGAUGUUCGCUGGAGAUGGUUUCUUGUCAGUGGAGAGUGUGGGGGGAGUCGAGGCUCGAGGGUGGGGAGCACGCGAGCAGAGCAGAAACAAUAUACUACAAAAUGAGCCGAACGCGGAAGGAAGGAGGGAAAGCAGAGCACACUCUCUCAGCUCAGUCCAUCGUGGAGCAGACACACAAAGCUCUAUGGGCUACUUUGAAAAAAGAGAUCUAUGAUCUGUGCGUGUGUUCGGCCUGUCGAUAUUCACAAGUUUGGCCCAGGCUAUAG